AGAGUUUGAUCCUGGCUCAGGACGAACGCUGGCGGCGUGCCUAAUGCAUGCAAGUCGCACGCGGGUUCUUUCGAGGACCUGAGUGGCGCACGGCUGAGUAACACGUGGGUAACCUGCCCCGGUGUGGGGGACAACGGACCGAAAGGUGCGCUAAUCCCGCAUACGCUCUUCGGAGGAAAGACGCAAAUCGCACCGGGAGGGGCCUGCGGCCCAUCAGGUAGUUGGUGUGGUAAGAGCACACCAAGCCGAUGACGGGUACCUGGUCUGAGAGGACGAUCAGGCAGACUGGGACUGAGACACGGCCCAGACUCCUACGGGAGGCAGCAGCAAGGAAUUUUCCGCAAUGGGCGCAAGCCUGACGGAGCAACGCCGCGUGCCGGAAGACGGCUUUCGGGUUGUAAACGGCUUUUGUCGGGGAAGAGAUGGACGGUACCCGACGAAUAAGCCCCGGCUAACUCCGUGCCA
This 465-nucleotide ribosomal RNA is filed under the name uncultured bacterium. RNAcentral's name for it is "bacterial SSU rRNA". It matches the Rfam family "Bacterial small subunit ribosomal RNA", at positions 8 to 510 of the family's 1533-position model. The record is from RNAcentral.